CGGAGGACGGUCUUUCGGAGCGCUUGACUUCGGUGUCUCUCGACAGCAAGGGCUUCCAGGCUCUGAAGCAGCUUUGUUGUGAUGUUGCAGUUAAAUUUGCUCCUUGAUAAUGGGGGGAGCUCUCGAAUAUUACUGCUGCCAGUGUUUGUGGUUUGGGCUAUCCUGUUUUAGCUCCCUGCUACUUGGUGUAUUUGGUUAUGUCAUUGUGUG
RNAcentral lists this unclassified non-coding RNA (210 nucleotides) under Hevea brasiliensis (rubber tree). The record is from RNAcentral. Lineage: Eukaryota; Viridiplantae; Streptophyta; Magnoliopsida; Malpighiales; Euphorbiaceae.